Trachymyrmex cornetzi is the source of this 267-nucleotide long non-coding RNA. RefSeq lists it as uncharacterized. The transcript has 3 exons. NCBI's taxonomy places the organism in Eukaryota, Metazoa, Arthropoda, Insecta, Hymenoptera, Formicidae. The record is from RefSeq and is a predicted model, not a curated record.
CGUUGACGAUACUGUCAACGAUACUGUGUUCAAAAGUAUUUAUAAUACUUUGUUCAAUUCAUGCUGGCAUUUCACAGUCUUAUCACUCUCACUGUGUACAACUACUGGACUAGAUGCAAAUAGAAGUUGAAAUCCUCUCAGAGUCGAUAUUUUUUAAACGAGAGAUCGCUCAGAUAUGUCACAUAUGUUGAUAUAACUGACAAACAAUAGUACAAACAGCAAUAAUAAAGAAUUCCCACAUCUUAUAAAAGUUAAUAGAACUUAGAG